Molecule: ribosomal RNA, 255 nt
Filed under: uncultured bacterium
Lineage: Bacteria
Description: partial 16S ribosomal RNA
Rfam family: Bacterial small subunit ribosomal RNA
Source: RNAcentral
UACGUAGGGUGCAAGCGUUUGUCCGGAAUUAUUGGGCGUAAAGAGCUCGUAGGCGGUCUGUCGCGUCGGCUGUGAAAACCCGGAGCUCAACUCCGGGCCUGCAGUCGAUACGGGCAGACUGGAGUUCGGCAGGGGAGACUGGAAUUCCUGGUGUAGCGGUGAAAUGCGCAGAUAUCAGGAGGAACACCGGUGGCGAAGGCGGGUCUCUGGGCCGAUACUGACGCUGAGGCACGAAAGCCAGGGGAGCGAAACGGG